This is a long non-coding RNA of Ornithodoros turicata, 400 nucleotides long. RefSeq lists it as uncharacterized. The transcript has 3 exons. The record is from RefSeq and is a predicted model, not a curated record. NCBI's taxonomy places the organism in Eukaryota, Metazoa, Arthropoda, Arachnida, Ixodida, Argasidae.
GGUUGCGAAAUUAACAGCAAUGAAAAUGGCGAAACGAAACUUGUGAAUCGUGCAUUUGCUCUUCAUGGUAGCUGCCAGAAAAUCGAAUCAAACUUAUGGGACACUGGAUUACAGGUUGCUGCCACUACUCCAUGUGCCCGCAAUUGUCUUGCGUGUAUGAUUACACUAACGACGUCGCCCACCACGGCGGAAGUGUUUUGCGUACACGCGUUUCAGCAUGAAGCCUGCAGGUGGACGUAAAUUGUAGAAGGCAGCUAGUGGGGGACAAGAUCAUGGUCAUAGGUCAUGUGGCUCCUGGAGCUCCCAGUGGGCUCCCUUGUGGAGUACUUUUCAGAACACGCACACAGUUCGCUCACAGAACCAACGAGUAGGAUGUUGCUUGAAUACUGAGAGAAAAUGG